This 468-nucleotide ribosomal RNA is filed under the name uncultured bacterium. Its description in RNAcentral is "partial 16S ribosomal RNA". It matches the Rfam family "Bacterial small subunit ribosomal RNA", at positions 28 to 507 of the family's 1533-position model. The record is from RNAcentral.
GACGAACGCUGGCGGCGUGCUUAACACAUGCAAGUCGAACGGAAAGGCCCUGCUUUUGUGGGGUGCUCGAGUGGCGAACGGGUGAGUAACACGUGAGUAACCUGCCCUUGACUUUGGGAUAACUUCAGGAAACUGGGGCUAAUACCGGAUAGGAGCUCCUGCUGCAUGGUGGGGGUUGGAAAGUUUCGGCGGUUGGGGAUGGACUCGCGGCUUAUCAGCUUGUUGGUGGGGUAGUGGCUUACCAAGGCUUUGACGGGUAGCCGGCCUGAGAGGGUGACCGGCGACAUGGGGACUGAGAUACGGCCCAGACUCAUACGGGAGGCAGCAGUGGGGAAUAUUGCACAAUGGGCGGAAGCCUGAUGGAGCAACGCCGCGUGCGGGAUGACGGCCUUCGGGUUGUAAACCGCUUUCGCCUGUGACGAAGCGUGAGUGAAGGUAAUGGGUAAAGAAGCACCGGCUAACUACGUG